AUCUGGUUGUUUCUAAGCAUUCUGUGCAAUGUGACUUUUUGCACAGUGGAUUUUAACACAUGAAUUGCACAAAUUACUAUCCGACCAUUGUUUUGUAUUUUCCCAAUGCAUAUUGAGUAUCUGGUGUUUAGAAUACAUUAAUUUAUAUUCUAUGAACAUUUUUCUUUAGUAGGUACCUGGUAGAUUGCACGGAUCAUGGCUGACUGCUGUUUUGUUUUUAGAGUUGAGAGCCAGUGAGGGAGAAAUGUGGACAGGGAGACAUGAAUGCCUAUGGUGGAGAGAGAGAGAGAGAGAGAGAGAGAGACCACAGCAUGGCUCUGCCUCUUGUGAAACUUCCCCUGUGCAGGUGUUCUCAUAUGGUGACUGGUGUUUUAAAAACUUUAUGACAGUCUGUCUGUCUUUCUUUUUUUCUACUUCCCAUUGCCACCUGGGUUACCAGUUGGGCUCUGUACCUAUAGGAUGAAUCACUAGUCCUGGCGGCCACAUUUCCCCUCUUUCUUUCUUUAUUAAAUUUGAUAGGACUGAGAGAGAAGGGCGAGAACUGUAUCCUGGUGUCAGCAGCUGUACUGUCAGUCAUGACCCUCCCCCAAUGCAGUGGGCUUUUCAAAAGCAUCACCUGGAGCUUCCUUACAAAGCAGACACUGUUUAUUGUCUCUCUUGACCUCUCCCUAGAGCAUGCUAGCUAAUUUGAAGCAUGUGUAUGCAGUCUUCUAUCCUCGACUGAUGUACUUACAACCCACUUGUGCCUUUGCAUGGCGUGAUGCGUCAUCUGUCUGCAUUUCAAGCUGCUGUCCCUUGUUAGGGACAUAAAGCAAGUGUUUGCUGAAGGCUGUCUUGUUGCUUCCAAUUAUGGGCAAUUAUGACCAGAGACACCAUGACACGGGUGUGUGGCUUUGCUUUUGUGUACAAGCAUGUUUUAAAAACAAUUUUGGCAAAUAUCUAAGAGCUUGAUUACGGAAUCACAUAUUGAGAUCUUUAUCUUUGUUUGAACCUACUAAACUCUCUUCUGGUGAGUAUUUUGAACCCUCCCUGGCUCGCUCUUAUUUUAAAGGUAGAAACCAUUACAAAGUAGAUGAGGCUGGGCCAAGGCAUGGCCUCCAGGCAACCCAGGCAGGUUUCAAUAAACUGUCCAGAGCCGAGGUUUAGAACUAAAUGGGGUAUUUAACAGUUGAGACUCCCUUGAGUUUACUUUAAAAAAAAAGAUGCAUACUUUGAAAUGUUAAGGUUAAAAAAGUAGUAUUGUUAUGUGGAAAACUGAGAAAUGUUAUACAUGUACAAACUAUUGUAUUCACUGUCAAAUGUAAAAUAUUAAUCCCCCAAUAAAGGAAAAAAUAGGUUAAAAAAGUAA
Molecule: long non-coding RNA, 1348 nt
Organism: Erinaceus europaeus (western European hedgehog)
Lineage: Eukaryota; Metazoa; Chordata; Mammalia; Eulipotyphla; Erinaceidae
Exons: 2
Source: RefSeq, a predicted model, not a curated record